RNAcentral lists this non-coding RNA (24 nucleotides) under Arabidopsis thaliana (thale cress). Lineage: Eukaryota; Viridiplantae; Streptophyta; Magnoliopsida; Brassicales; Brassicaceae. The record is from RNAcentral.
CGUAAUCCCUCUAGGCCAGAAACC